RNAcentral lists this ribosomal RNA (254 nucleotides) under uncultured bacterium. RNAcentral's name for it is "partial 16S ribosomal RNA". It matches the Rfam family "Bacterial small subunit ribosomal RNA", at positions 524 to 776 of the family's 1533-position model. The record is from RNAcentral.
UACGUAGGGUGCAAGCGUUGUCCGGAAUUAUUGGGCGUAAAGAGCUCGUAGGCGGUUUGUCGCGUCUGCUGUGAAAACCUAGGGCUUAACCCUGGGCCUGCAGUGGGUACGGGCAGACUAGAGUGCGGUAGGGGAGACUGGAAUUCCUGGUGUAGCGGUGAAAUGCGCAGAUAUCGGGAAGAACACCCGUGGCGAAGGCGGCUCUCUGGGACGGUACUGGACGCUGAGACGCGAAAGCGUGGGGAGCGAACAGG